This 403-nucleotide ribosomal RNA is filed under the name uncultured bacterium. Its description in RNAcentral is "bacterial SSU rRNA". It matches the Rfam family "Bacterial small subunit ribosomal RNA", at positions 362 to 757 of the family's 1533-position model. The record is from RNAcentral.
UUUUGGACAAUGGGCGAAAGCCUGAUCCAGCCAUUCCGCGUGAGUGAAGAAGGCCUUCGGGUUGUAAAGCUCUUUCGCAAGGGAAGAAAACUUAGGCGCUAAUAUCGCUUGAGGUUGACGGUACCUUGAUAAGAAGCACCGGCUAACUACGUGCCAGCAGCCGCGGUAAUACGUAGGGUGCGAGCGUUAAUCGGAAUUACUGGGCGUAAAGCGUGCGCAGGCGGUUUUGUAAGUCAGAUGUGAAAUCCCCGAGCUCAACUUGGGAACUGCGUUUGAAACUAUAAGACUAGAAUAUGUCAGAGGGGGGUAGAAUUCCACGUGUAGCAGUGAAAUGCGUAGAGAUGUGGAGGAAUACCAAUGGCGAAGGCAGCCCCCUGGGAUAAUAUUGACGCUCAUGCACGAA